RNAcentral lists this ribosomal RNA (251 nucleotides) under uncultured bacterium. Its description in RNAcentral is "partial 16S ribosomal RNA". It matches the Rfam family "Bacterial small subunit ribosomal RNA", at positions 526 to 776 of the family's 1533-position model. The record is from RNAcentral.
CGAAGGGGGCUAGCGUUGUUCGGAAUUACUGGGCGUAAAGCGCACGUAGGCGGAUAUUUAAGUCAGGGGUGAAAUCCCGGGGCUCAACCCCGGAACGGCCUUUGAUACUGGAUGUCUUGAGUCCGGAAGAGGUGAGUGGAAUUGCGAGUGUAGAGGUGAAAUUCGUAGAUAUUCGCAAGAACACCAGUGGCGAAGGCGGCUCACUGGCCCGAUACUGACGCUGAGGCACGAAAGCGUGGGGAGCAAACAGG